AUCCAGCCGACGAGUUCCAAAUAGGACGAAACGCGCGUCCUCCAU
RNAcentral lists this non-coding RNA (45 nucleotides) under Schistosoma haematobium. Lineage: Eukaryota; Metazoa; Platyhelminthes; Trematoda; Strigeidida; Schistosomatidae. The record is from RNAcentral.